UGGCGGACGGGUGGGUAAUGUCUGGGAAACUGCCUGAUGGAGGGGGAUAACUACUGGAAACGGUAGCUAAUACCGCAUAACGUCGCAAGACCAAAGAGGGGGACCUUCGGGCCUCUUGCCAUCGGAUGUGCCCAGAUGGGAUUAGCUAGUAGGUGGGGUAAUGGCUCACCUAGGCGACGAUCCCUAGCUGGUCUGAGAGGAUGACCAGCCACACUGGAACUGAGACACGGUCCAG
RNAcentral lists this ribosomal RNA (235 nucleotides) under uncultured bacterium. RNAcentral describes it as "partial 16S ribosomal RNA". It matches the Rfam family "Bacterial small subunit ribosomal RNA", at positions 96 to 334 of the family's 1533-position model. The record is from RNAcentral.